RNAcentral lists this ribosomal RNA (447 nucleotides) under uncultured bacterium. RNAcentral describes it as "bacterial SSU rRNA". It matches the Rfam family "Bacterial small subunit ribosomal RNA", at positions 330 to 794 of the family's 1533-position model. The record is from RNAcentral.
UCCAGACUCCUACGGGAGGCAGCAGUGGGGAAUAUUGCACAAUGGGGGAAACCCUGAUGCAGCGACGCCGCGUGAGUGAAGAAGUCAUUCGUGAUGUAAAGCUCUAUCAGCAGGGAAGAAAAUGACGGUACCUGAUUAAGAAGCCCCGGCUAACUACGUGCCAGCAGCCGCGGUAAUACGUAGGGGGCAAGCGUUAUCCGGAUUUACUGGGUGUAAAGGGAGCGUAGACGGCAGCACAAGUCUGGAGUGAAAUGCCGGGGCUUAACCCCGGAACUGCUUUUGAAACUGUUAAGCUUGAGUGCAGGAGAGGUAAGCGGAAUUCCUAGUGUAGCGGUGAAAUGCGUAGAUAUUAGGAGGAACACCAGUGGCGAAGGCGGCUUACUGGACUGUAACUGACACUGAGGCUCGAAAGCGUGGGGAGCAAACAGGAUUAGAUACCCCUGUAGA